GGUAAAGUGGCUGAGAAUUCAGGCGAUAAAUUGUAAAUUUAUUCACGAAAUAAAAAUUUCCUUUACCA
RNAcentral lists this transfer RNA (68 nucleotides) under Trachylophus sinensis. RNAcentral's name for it is "tRNA-Tyr". Lineage: Eukaryota; Metazoa; Arthropoda; Insecta; Coleoptera; Cerambycidae. The record is from RNAcentral.